Molecule: ribosomal RNA, 497 nt
Filed under: uncultured bacterium
Lineage: Bacteria
Description: partial 16S ribosomal RNA
Rfam family: Bacterial small subunit ribosomal RNA
Source: RNAcentral
GAUGAACGCUGGCGGCGUGCCUAAUACAUGCAAGUCGAGCGAACAGACGAGGAGCUUGCUCCUUUGACGUUAGCGGCGGACGGGUGAGCAACACGUGGGUAACCUACCUAUAAGACUGGGAUAACUUCGGGAAACCGGAGCUAAUACCGGAUAAUAUUUCGAACCGCAUGGUUCGAUAGUGAAAGAUGGCUUUGCUAUCACUUAUAGAUGGACCUGCGCCGUACUAGCUAGUUGGUAAGGUAACGGCUUACCAAGGCAACGAUACGUAGCCGACCUGAGAGGGUGAUCGGCCACACUGGAACUGAGACACGGUCCAGACUCCUACGGGAGGCAGCAGUAGGGAAUCUUCCGCAAUGGGCGAAAGCCUGACGGAGCAACGCCGCGUGAGUGAUGAAGGUCUUCGGAUCGUAAAACUCUGUUAUUAGGGAAGAACAAACGUGUAAGUAGCUGUGCACGUCUUGACGGUACCUAAUCAGAAAGCCACGGCUAACUACGUG